GUCGGGGCACCGCCGAAUCCGUGUACGUCGCGGAGCCGGGGAACCAGGUUCGUCGGCGCGGCCCGCGCGGUAAGCGAGGGUGGCGCCAGUGGGGUGAAUCGGUCGGCGUGCACUCGCCGUCGUGUGUGCGCGUGCGACCGUAGGGCUACUUCUUCAGUCCGAAUCCGUCAGCUAACCCGGUAGGCGGACAAGGAGGAGAU
RNAcentral lists this small RNA (200 nucleotides) under Catenulispora acidiphila. RNAcentral's name for it is "c-di-AMP sequence". It matches the Rfam family "c-di-AMP riboswitch aptamer (ydaO/yuaA leader)". From Rfam's summary of the family: This family represents a conserved RNA structure found upstream of the ydaO and yuaA genes in Bacillus subtilis and related genes in other bacteria. The ydaO/yuaA element is thought to act as a genetic "off" switch for the ydaO and yuaA genes in its native state. The record is from RNAcentral. Lineage: Bacteria; Bacillati; Actinomycetota; Actinomycetes; Catenulisporales; Catenulisporaceae. RNAcentral also lists the same sequence under 1 other name.